GAAGAGCCUGGUGAGGGUUGAGGACAACAGUCACCCAGUCCAGCUACUGGAGUUCAAAUCCUUCUUUAGUGUCCCUCAGAACUUGGUGAAAGUCAUGACGUUGUGUCCAAUUCAGCAUUUGGUGCAUUCUGAAAUCAAGUCACAACGCAGGAGUAGAGAGCUACAUCAUUAAGAACAUCAAAAACCAGAUUGUCCUCGCCUUAAAGGUACGGCACACAUUAAAAUGGUUUCAUAACAUUAAAGGUAGUCAGGAGUCAGCAAUUCAGGAAGUAAACAGCAAUAUCGGGUAAAUUCCGCAACAUUUAAGAGCGUUGAAGCGUGAGGCUAAACCUCUCCGCUGUUUUGGUCCCGUAACUAUCACGUUGUAGCAGAGUGAAGUGCACCCAUGCAAAUGCACAGAUACUGUGGGAGUUAAGUCUUGCAUUGCGCUCAUCUGAAUAUCUGCAGUGCUGCUCGUUGCAACGCUGAGUCUCAGUUUAAAAUGGUGCUAUAUGUACAGUGCCUAGUGAAAGUCUACACACCCCUUGAAAACAUUUAAUCUAAAAAUAGAUUCAAUUAGAA
Coregonus clupeaformis (lake whitefish) is the source of this 561-nucleotide long non-coding RNA. RefSeq lists it as uncharacterized. The transcript is spliced from 3 exons. Lineage: Eukaryota; Metazoa; Chordata; Actinopteri; Salmoniformes; Salmonidae. The record is from RefSeq and is a predicted model, not a curated record.